UAACGCGAAGAACCUUACCUGGGUUUGACAUCGCCUGAAAACUCGUAGAGAUACGGGGUCCUUCGGGGCAGGUGACAGGUGGUGCAUGGCUGUCGUCAGCUCGUGUCGUGAGAUGUUGGGUUAAGUCCCGCAACGAGCGCAACCCUCGUCCCAUGUUGCCAGCGGGUUAUGCCGGGGACUCAUGGGAGACUGCCGGGGUCAACUCGGAGGAAGGUGGGGAUGACGUCAAGUCAUCAUGCCCCUUAUGUCCAGGGCUUCACACAUGCUACAAUGGCCGGUACAAAGGGCUGCGAUGCCGUGAGGUGGAGCGAAUCCUUUCAAAGCCGGUCUCAGUUCGGAUUGGGGUCUGCAACUCGACCCCAUGAAGUCGGAGUCGCUAGUAAUCGCAGAUCAGCAACGCUGCGGUGAAUACGUUCCCGGGUCUUGUACACACCGA
This 436-nucleotide ribosomal RNA is filed under the name uncultured bacterium. RNAcentral describes it as "bacterial SSU rRNA". It matches the Rfam family "Bacterial small subunit ribosomal RNA", at positions 957 to 1393 of the family's 1533-position model. The record is from RNAcentral.